UAAGAUGGUCAAGUGAUGACGAGAGGGAGAUGAUAAUAAAACAGGUAACGUGUGAAGCAAGUCAUUGUUGUUGAUGAAAUCGUAAGCCCUUUUGGCUCUUCUAGCAGCGUUUCUCUCCUUCUUGUGGGCGUUUUGGUGACCUCCUAGGGCUUGGGAGCUAUGGAACUUUCUUGAACAAAAGAGGCAUGGGAAUACUCUUGAUGAAGAUGUGUCUUCGUCUGUCUUGUUGACUUCUUGGGUUGGCUUGAUCUCUUCUUCUACUUGAUGGUGAUGAUCUUCCAUUAUAUGUUACCUAUACAGAAAAAGUCACUAAGAAUUAGGUUAACUUCCAAGAAAUGAACAUACAAAGUUAUAGGGUAUGGGAUAUAUCUAUACGUUGAGAUGAAGAGAAUGUGUGUGAUGUGGGCUUGAGAGGAAGAGUUUAAAAGGGCAAGUGUGAAGAUGAGAAGUAGAGGAGAAGUCAAGUUUAAGAUGGUGUUUGAGGAGAGUUGGAAACUGUGAAGAAUCUGUGAGUGGAUUCAUUAGUGUUUUACUAAUAAGUGUUCUGUUCUGUUGCAGAGAGCCAACUUUGGGAGCAGGUUCUUUUGCCCGUAUGGGCUUGGGAACAGUGGAGAUAAGAGAGAGUCAGAGAUAAAGAGAGAGAAGAGAGAAGAGAAUUGAGUAAAAGGUGGUGCAUGUUGAUGAAAAGGAGAUUGAUUGGUGAGAAAGAAGAAAGAGACGUUUGAAUUUUUGGGAAAUGGAACUUCUUUUUACUAAUUUUUCUACAUCUUGAGAUUAGCAUUUUUUGGGUUUUUGCUUCUUCUCUAAGUGUAAACUCUAUUUUCCUAUUGGCAUAAGUAACUAUAGUUCCAUUCAACUUCCUCCGUUGUAAUAUUGACCAUGACUUUUAAUGAACUUUUA
This 900-nucleotide long non-coding RNA is filed under the name Capsella grandiflora. RNAcentral's name for it is "long non-coding RNA (CGRA_LNC001623)". The record is from RNAcentral. Lineage: Eukaryota; Viridiplantae; Streptophyta; Magnoliopsida; Brassicales; Brassicaceae.